CAGUAGCCGCGGUAAUACGAAGGGUGCAAGCGUUAAUCGGAAUUACUGGGCGUAAAGCGUGCGUAGGCGGUGAAUUAAGUCUGCUGUGAAAUCCCCGGGCUCAACCUGGGAAUGGCAGUGGAUACUGGCUCGCUAGAGUGUGUCAGAGGAUGGUGGAAUUCCCGGUGUAGCGGUGAAAUGCGUAGAGAUCGGGAGGAACAUCAGUGGCGAAGGCGGCCAUCUGGGACAACACUGACGCUGAGGCACGAAAGCGUGGGGAGCAAACAGGAUUAGAUACCCCCGUAGUCCCUGUCUCUUAUAA
RNAcentral lists this ribosomal RNA (301 nucleotides) under uncultured bacterium. RNAcentral's name for it is "partial 16S ribosomal RNA". It matches the Rfam family "Bacterial small subunit ribosomal RNA", at positions 509 to 809 of the family's 1533-position model. The record is from RNAcentral.